GAUAAACGCUGGCGGCGCACAUAAGACAUGCAAGUCGAACGGAAGUCGUUUAAAAUGGAAAUAAAGAUUUAUCUGGAAAUAAAUUUUAAACAAUGGCUUUAGUGGCGGACUGGUGAGUAACACGUGAGCAACCUGCCUAUUAGAGGGGAAUAACAGCGAGAAAUCGUUGCUAAUACCGCAUAUGCCAUGAAAUUCGCAUGAAAAGAAUGGGAAAGGAGAAAUCCGCUAAUAGAUGGGCUCGCGCCUGAUUAGAUAGUUGGUGGGGUAAAGGCCUACCAAGUCGACGAUCAGUAGCCGGACUGAGAGGUUGAACGGCCACAUUGGGACUGAGAUACGGCCCAG
This 342-nucleotide ribosomal RNA is filed under the name uncultured bacterium. RNAcentral's name for it is "bacterial SSU rRNA". It matches the Rfam family "Bacterial small subunit ribosomal RNA", at positions 28 to 334 of the family's 1533-position model. The record is from RNAcentral.